GCCCAGGUGGCGGAAUGGUAGACGCUGGGGACUUAAAAUCCCUUGUCCGAAAGGACGUGCGGGUUCGAGUCCCGCCUUGGGCA
Molecule: transfer RNA, 83 nt
Filed under: Verrucomicrobia bacterium CG1_02_43_26
Lineage: Bacteria; Pseudomonadati; Verrucomicrobiota
Also listed under: 4 other names
Description: tRNA-Leu
Rfam family: tRNA
About the family: Transfer RNA (tRNA) molecules are approximately 80 nucleotides in length. Their secondary structure includes four short double-helical elements and three loops (D, anti-codon, and T loops).
Source: RNAcentral